Poeciliopsis prolifica (blackstripe livebearer) is the source of this 2329-nucleotide long non-coding RNA. RefSeq lists it as uncharacterized. The record is from RefSeq and is a predicted model, not a curated record. The transcript is spliced from 4 exons. Lineage: Eukaryota; Metazoa; Chordata; Actinopteri; Cyprinodontiformes; Poeciliidae.
ACACAUCCACUGAAGAAAAUAGUUCCAAAACAUAUUUGAAUAAGGAGGACAACGAAAUGUAUUUAUUUACAUUGAGAACUUUUGCUACAUCGGUUUUACAUUUGUUAAACCGAUGUAGCACUCUCAAAAAUUAAUCUUGUGUUUCUUGGAAAACGUAAAAUGACCCGCGGAUGGAUAUGCGGUUUCAAAAUCAAGCCUGUUCUCUUCAUCAGUCCGUUGGCGCGGAGUCUGCCUGUUGGCUGAUCUACGAAAGAAUCUGUAAGUACAUUUCUUCUGUUUUACCUAGUACCAAAUUUUAGGGAGAGAUUUUAAAUCGCUUGUUAAAAAAAUUGUUGCUCGUAACAAAUCGGACGACAGUAUCCCAAAAGAGACUUAAUUGUUAUUGUUAUUUUUGCUUUUCUUUAGGGUGAUACUUUUUCUGAUAUUGCUAACACACACAGCUACACACAAUAAGCAGAUUUUAGUGCAGACCGAUUUCAAACGCAGCGUUGUGGGCCAAACCAUUUUCAAAUACCGCCGCCAUUCUAUUUGUUGAGCUGCCAUUGGUUCAUUUGAGCGCCAACGAGGCAGAAUGAAAUCGGUUCACUGAAGAAUCUAUGUUGCUAGCAGAGGUUGUUACAAAGUGUCUGGACACAAUAAAACCAUUUGUAUGAUUUAAAAAGAGUAACUAUUGUGCUUUCAUUCUAUGUACUUGGGCUUUUAAUAAUCUUUCUCACAGUCACAUCAGCAUGCAUGGGUGGGUCUCAUGUAUGGAUUCAGGCUGGUUUGGCUGGGACCCAUGCAAGAUUAUUAUUGUCGUUUUUUUCAAUAAAACUGCAUUGAAUCGUUUAGCUUUGGGCUAUAUAGGUAAUGAUAAGAGGGCAUGGGUUUUAUCUGGGCCAACUGCGUGAGGCUCAAAAGGUUAACCGAAAUGGGACUCAUAUUGUUGGCUCAAUUGGGUUAAAUGUAUGGGCCCAAUUCAGCAUUAACGUGGGCUAACCGGGCAUGGGACAGAAAUGGGAACACUAUAUGGGGCCCAUGUGGUUUCAGUAUAUUGGGCCUAAAAGGUUUUUUGUAAAUAGGAUGAAGGCAUUGUAGUUCAUAUUUUUAAAUUCUUUUUUUAAUUGUUGUGUGACACUUUAAAGCGUUUUGUUAUGUCAUAGUUUAUUUCAAUCUGCCGCUAUUGUGUUGGUCUAGAGUAGUCAUCAGUGUCAGGGUUCCUGUGUGUGUAUGUGAGUGUCGCAUCUUAUUUCAGCGAGGAUCUUUGUGAGGAGCCCGUGGAGCUUGGCACAGGUGGAGGAGCAGCAGAAUCUUCAGUCUACGCUAGAUUGACUGAAGAUUCUACUGGUGUAUGCUAGAUGGUUGCAUACACCGGUAGUCACUCUGGCCUCUCCUGUUGUGAACAGUUUUCUGAGAACGUUUCUGUGUCUACUAGAAGUCACCUGGUCUCUGUGUUUGUUCGAUCCUAGGGGUUUUGUCGCCUCAUUCGAGAACUCACCAGUGAAUACCUGCCUGCUCGCUCCGCCGAUUCCACUGCCUCCACUCCACCCUUCGAGCUUCCAGCUCUCUUCCAUUCCCACCUCGCAUUUACCUUCGGAACCGCUGCACACCCUCUCUCAGGAACCUGGCAUCUCACACCCACGCCUCGAAAGACCCGCACCGAAGCUUCAAGAGGAUCAGCGUGUGAAGAUCACUUUAUAAUGAUUUGAAAAAGGUUGCCAUGGCUACAGAAAUUGGAGGAGCAUCCUUAGAUGACACAAUACAACCAGCUGUGCGAUUCCUCAUGUCCCAUGAACUGGAAGUCCAGUUCAACCUUUUUGGCCAACAUUGGAAACAAGCUCUUGGACCUGCGUCUCUUUGAUGUUUUGUAUGGGGACUUAAAAGAAAUUAUCCAUCUACAGAAUCACACAAGCAUACAGCAAAGACUCUCGAAGUGGUUUACUGGAGCCCGAGUGGAAGUGGAAAUAGACUAGAGAGACUGCCAGUUCAAACUCAGGUUGGGGAGGUCUUUCAAGAUGGACAGUUUCAGUAAAGUAUGAGAGAUUUCAAAUUUAAGCAUGCAUAUGGCAUGUAGGUUAUCUUUAAAAAUGUUUAACAAAAAUGUAUUGUGAAAGAUCUAUAUAGGUGUGUAUAUUCACAUUGUGUGUAUCAAUGUGAAUAUACGUGUAUAAAGUUAUAUAGAUAGUAUUUAGAUGUAUACAUUUAUAGACCUGUAGGAAAAUAUGUAGGUGUCUUUAUUUGUGUGCAUCUAUAGAUAUAUAUUUAUAGAUCUGUUUAUAAGUUUGUUAUAGUAAACUAGCUUCUGUUAUUUUCAAAGAUGUCGUGAAUAAUUGCAGAUUUUUUUUGUGGC